This is a long non-coding RNA of Anopheles darlingi, 1347 nucleotides long. RefSeq lists it as uncharacterized. The transcript has 3 exons. Lineage: Eukaryota; Metazoa; Arthropoda; Insecta; Diptera; Culicidae. The record is from RefSeq and is a predicted model, not a curated record.
UGAAAUCGGAUACUGGCGAUGCUCAAGAUCAAGAUAUCCGACAUACUAGCGGAAAGGUGUGUCGUUACGGAACCUGAAUCUCUUUGCCUCUUAUAAUAAUCUGUAUGUAUAACGAUGCUACAGCAACCUUCGUCGCAGCGUGAGGCUGAUGAGUUAUCGGAAGGCUUUAAACCGUUGGCAAGGAAUGAAAUCUUUAGCGCAGGCGAUCUGGUCGCGAUGGAUGCCGAGUUUGUGACGCUGAAACCGGGGGAAAGUGAAAUCCGUUCCGAUGGAAAGAUGUUGACGGUGAAACCCCGGGCAUCACGUGCAUCCGGGGACAGGGCGAGCAUGAGAUUGUCCCGUUCAUAGAUGAUUACAUCUCGACGCAGGAACGCAGGUGGUCGACUAUCUGACCAAGUUUUCCGGUAUCAAUAUACAGUCGAAGACGCACGAUUCCGUCGAGGAAUGCUUCUACAAGCAUUACCUACGGCUACAGGAAAAGGAUGAGUUUUCCAGGGCGCUCUCGACGUUGUACGAGAAGGGCAAGCCUGUUGGAAAUUCCGUAGCUGCGUGAGCCCCAGUACCCGGAGCGGUGGGCCGCUCGCUUUGAUCGAUCGCUCGAUCAAAGGAGAUGCGGCAGGAGCGGGUGCUGGGGGAACGCGGGCAUCCGCACGAUCACCCGAUCACGCGGGCGAGGGUGAUGCCCGACCGUCGACCGGACCGGACCAACUACGGUUAACUUGCAGGGACUCAACUUUACCAGUCUUCACGGUGCGAUGGCGUCCAUUCCGGGACUGCAAAACGUUCAGGUUCAAAUUGCCGGACUUCCACAGCCGAUUUCUCAGACUCUUUCGUCUACGCCGUCAGGAACGACAACCGGUCGACUAGCCUACUUAACCAGACGACUAGCCUACUUGUGUCCGUUCCAGUGACCAACACCACACAGGCUGCUGUGAACACCAUCAACGCCGGUGCUAAUAAUACCAUACUGUCUGGUAACUCGCAAACGACACAAACGGUCGUUUUGACGAAUCCACAAACAAGUGGCUCCAGUCUACUCACUCUACCUACUGGUAGGUUUUUGGCCUUUGAAGGAAUGCGCUUGGCAAACUCUUUCGUAUAUUCCAUCUUCGCUUUGACGAACCGGUGGACCACUAACGGUGAAUGCUGGUCAACCGGGUCAACAGAUACAGCUACUGAACAUCAGUCAACGGCCUAGGGCGGGCACACCGAUUUCCGGUUCACAUCACGGCGGCCAAUGUUACUUCAAACACCACACCGAAUCAGCUCCUCAUGGCUACGAAGCAGCUACAAUUGAAGAUUCAACAACAGCAACACCAUCAUCAGUUGCAAUAACAGCAGCAAAUU